Molecule: ribosomal RNA, 491 nt
Filed under: uncultured bacterium
Lineage: Bacteria
Description: partial 16S ribosomal RNA
Rfam family: Bacterial small subunit ribosomal RNA
Source: RNAcentral
AGUGAACGCUGGCGGUAGGCCUAGCACAUGCAAGUCGAACGGCAGCACAGUAAGAGCUUGCUCUUACGGGUGGCGAGUGGCGGACGGGUGGGGAAUACAUCGGAAUCUACUUUUUCGUGGGGGAUAACGUAGGGAAACUUACGCUAAUACCGCAUACGACCUACGGGUGAAAGCAGGGGAUCUUCGGACCUUGCGCGAUUGAAUGAGCCGAUGUCGGAUUAGCUAGUUGGCGGGGUAAAGGCCCACCAAGGCGACGAUCCGUAGCUGGUCUGAGAGGAUGAUCAGCCACACUGGAACUGAGACACGGUCCAGACUCCUACGGGAGGCAGCAGUGGGGAAUAUUGGACAAUGGGCGCAAGCCUGAUCCAGCCAUACCGCGUGGGUGAAGAAGGCCUUCGGGUUGUAAAGCCCUUUUGUUGGGAAAGAAAAGCAGCAGGUUAAUACCCCGCUGUUCUGACGGUACCCAAAGAAUAAGCACCGGCUAACUUCGU